AUUGAACGCUGGCGGCAGGCCUAACACAUGCAAGUCGAGCGGAUGAAGGGGGCUUGCUCCUGGAUUCAGCGACGGACGGGUGAGUAAUGCCUAGGAAUCUGCCUGCUCGUGGGGGAUAACGUCCGGACCCGGGCGCUCAUACCGCAUACGUCCUGAGGGAGAAAGUGGGGGCUCUUCGGUCCUCACGCUAUCAGAUGAGCCUAGGUCGGAUUAGCUAGUUGGUGGGGUAAAGGCAUAGCAAGGCGACGAUCCGUAACUGGUCGGAGAGGAUGACCAGGCAGACUGGAACUGAGAAACGGCCCAGACUCCGACGGGAGGAAGCAGUGGGGAAUAUUGGACGAUGGGCGAAAGCCUGAUACAGCCAUGCCGCGUGAGUGAAGAAGGUCUUCGGAUUGUAAAGCACUUUAAGUUGGGAGGAAGGGAAGUAAGUUAAUACCUUGAUGUUUUGACGUUACCAAAAGAAUAAGCACCGGCUAACUUCGUG
RNAcentral lists this ribosomal RNA (484 nucleotides) under uncultured bacterium. RNAcentral's name for it is "partial 16S ribosomal RNA". It matches the Rfam family "Bacterial small subunit ribosomal RNA", at positions 30 to 507 of the family's 1533-position model. The record is from RNAcentral.